CCCCCAGCAGCCCCGCCUACCAGCACAGAGAUCACGGGCUGGCAGCCCAGAGCGGGCAGUGUGAGGGACGGGAGGAGAGCAGCCCCGGGAGGGAUCAGGGGCCGGUAGAAGUAGCUGAUGAAGAAGAGGAUAUAGAGAUAGUUGUUGUAUAGAUAGUUAGAGGGUAUGAUGAUAGUUGAUAGCGACGUAGAUAGUUAGUGGGUAGCAGGGUAGUUGAUAGUGACGCAGACAGAUAGUGGGUAGCAGGGUAGUUGAUAGCGACGUAGAUAGAUCAUAGUGACGUAGAUAGCUGAUAGCGAUGUAGAUAGUGAGAUAGAUAGCUGAUGGUGGAGAGGUAGUGAACAGAUAGCAGAUAGCUAGGUGGGUUAUUGGUAGAUCAUAGAUCAUAGCCAGAUAGCUGAUAGGGGGAUGGAGGAUAGAAAGAUGGGUGACUGAAAGGUAGUUAAUUUAUAGAGUAUGAUAUAGAAAGUUGCUAAAAAGAAUCUCUGUUUCAGAUGAGCCACUGCAUCCUGGGACACCACUCUCCCCUCCAGUACGAUGAAGACCAACGCCUGAUGCUGCUCCAUCACCAGCAGAAGAACAGCAGCUCUGCAGAGACCCGUCCUGCCAGCAGAGCAUCACGGAGAAGAAGACGCGCCUUCUGCUCACAGGAAGACGAGACCUUGCACUUCACUUGACCCCCUCCUCCAGGAGGAAGCAGGAUCAGCGCCCGGUGCUGCCCCAGUGCCGGCAGAAGAACAGCGGCUCUUGGAAGCGUGACCUGCUGGGAGAUCGUCGGGGAGAAGAGGACGCGCCUUCUGCGCCGAGGGAGCCUUCUCCUGUAAUCCCACCUUCAAUGAGACGAUGCUCAGCUGCUCCGGAACAGCCACGGAGGGAACGGACGGAAGAGGAGAGCCCAGAUGACUGCGCCCGUGUGAAGUGCCAUGCAGAGACUGAAUGCAGAGACUGAGCCAGCAAACAACGGAGUAGAUAGCAUAGAGAAUUAGUUAACACUAAAAUGUAUUAGUAUAGCAUAGUGCAGUUGUCAAAUAGCUUUGUAAAUAAAUUCACUUUGUUUGUAUCCUUAUCUUGUGUUGUGUAAAAUGAUGGGGAUGGGUAGUCUGAUACUUCAGG
RNAcentral lists this long non-coding RNA (1113 nucleotides) under Gallus gallus (chicken). Its description in RNAcentral is "lncRNA (ENSGALG00010028228.1)". Lineage: Eukaryota; Metazoa; Chordata; Aves; Galliformes; Phasianidae. The record is from RNAcentral.